UACGUAGGGCGCAAGCGUUAUCCGGAAUUAUUGGGCGUAAAGAGCUCGUAGGCGGUUUGUCGCGUCUGCCGUGAAAACUCAGGGCUUAACCCUGAGCUUGCAGUGGGUACGGGCAGACUAGAGUGCGGUAGGGGAGACUGGAAUUCCUGGUGUAGCGGUGAAAUGCGCAGAUAUCAGGAGGAACACCGGUGGCGAAGGCGGGUCUCUGGGCCGUAACUGACGCUGAGGAGCGAAAGCAUGGGGAGCGAACAGG
This 253-nucleotide ribosomal RNA is filed under the name uncultured bacterium. RNAcentral's name for it is "partial 16S ribosomal RNA". It matches the Rfam family "Bacterial small subunit ribosomal RNA", at positions 524 to 776 of the family's 1533-position model. The record is from RNAcentral.